UCCUUCCGCGACAUUUCUCACUGCUCCUCCUCCUUUCCUCCAUACUGCCGCUCUGACGGCUCACGCGCAGGCGACGAGCGCGUCCCAUCUCCACCACUAUUUUGUCGCCGUCGUCGCGCCGCGGUGCUGCUGCCCUUCGCUCAGCGCCGCUGUGCCUGCGCCCCGAGGCUGCCUGGCUUCGCUGCUCGCCGACCGCAGAUGGUCCAGCGAGGCGAACGCGCGCGGCCGGCCCGGUUUCGCCGCUCCUCGCCCACGGCUGGUCCGGCGCCGCCGCUCCCUACCCGCGGCCUGCCUUGCACCACGGCUCGUCGCUCCCGACCGGCCAGCGGCGACUGUUGAUCCCCGCCCGUGGCUUCGCUGCUCCUCGCCCAUGGCCAGUCCGGCGCCGCUGCUUCACGCCCGUGGCCAGCCCUGCGCUUUAGCUCCUCGCUCGCAUCUGUCCAGGUGGCAGCCGUCGCUCCCCGCCCGCGGCUCGGCGCUUCUCGCCCAUGGCUGGUCCGGCGCCGCCGGUGCCUACCCUGUGCCCUAACUCCUCGCUCGCGGCCGGCCAGGCGACGGCCAUAGCUCCCCACCCGCUGCCACGACCGUGGAGCUCCCCUGCCGUUGUGAUGUUGACCGUGAAGCUCGCUUCCGGCGUUAGAUUUUCGGCCGUCGAUGCUUGCGGUGUACCUUUUUACUCCGGCCAAGCCACAGCUCGGCUCCGCGGCCGCUUCGCAGUGCAGACCCCGGAAAGCCUGCUGCGUCCCUCCCUACCGAGUCGCUGUACCGCUACCUCUCCCCAUCCUUACCGCUGCCUCUCCCCAUCCUGGCCGCGCUCGUCCAGGCCCUUCCUGCAUGCGCCGCCUGCCAAAGAAAUCGAUGGAAGGAGACGGGAAUCCAUUUCGCUUCUACUUGGAGUACCUCGGUCCAGUAGCGCUGCUCCACGCCAACAGGUAUAUCGAUCACUAAUCCCUUGAUAGUGUGGUUUUAGAUAAAUCUAUUCUCUGAUAAAAUUUGUGGGCAUACGUAAGGUUCUAAGCCUACACCUUUUUUUUUCCUAAACAUUCCUACCUAUCUGUUGCACAGCGAAUGGAAGAGCAGCCAAUCCAAGUCUUUACAAGAUCUAUCUAUGCAAUUCUUUAGUUUUAUUUUCAGUUGAGUAUGAAAUCGCUUAUUGCAUAUGCUCAUGAAACAUACUCUGAAGAAGCUGCAUAUCAUGUGUUCGGUGGAAUGCCUAUGAGAGAUGUUCAGGCCCUGCUAUUGUUUUACAAACCUGCAUUUCGUCGGCAAACGCAGCUGCAAGCUCUGCAGGAAACAUGUAUAUUUUUAUUUCGGUUUGCAAAUCUAUACUUGGAUUUCCUGGGAAUUAUUACUUGCUUAAAUGUUCGUCUCUAUCAGUAGAUGAUACCGGAGAUGUAUAUUCUGUUGUUAAAUUUCACUGACAGGAAAAACCAUCUAAGUGGAUGUUUGAUCAGAACAGCAAAGGUAAAGUUGUAAAAGCCAUCAAAGUGGACGUUUGAUCAGAAUAGCAACACGAAAAAGCCAUUUAUUAUUAUUUUGGUUCCCUAGAAGGACCAAUAAUGAUCUCCCUCAUGUUAUGCAAGAUGGUUUCCUAAUUGGGGAUUGAAGAGGAUGGAAUUGGUUCUUCUUUAGAAGGCACAAACAAUGAUGUUGCAAGUACUGCAGCCUAUGGGUAGCUAAAUGCCCCUUCAUAAAUAAUAACAUCAUCUCAUCAACUCAGCAUAAUGAAGAGUAUUUAUCAGGUUUUUCGUUGAUAUGGACUAUCGAAAUAUAACUAGCUGAUUGGAAUCUUGUUAAGUUGGCGAAAUUUGUCCUUCAUAUCACAGAUGGUCAAGCAGAUAAGUUUUCCCCCUCCCAUCUUUUCAUUGCAUUUAAAGCAGGCUGAUAUGAUCUGAUCUAAAACUAAAAGGCACUGCAACAACCUUUUUUCUAAAAAUGGUUGCAGCUGUUAUUGAUAUUAUACUUAGAUUGAAAAAUGAACUACCCUAUAUUAUAAGCCACAUAUAUUCUUUACCAUACAUAUGCAAGACUAUUGUUCAGUGGAGGAAAUGCCCUGUCAGCUCAGCAUUUUUAUGGACACCAUAUGACCAAUAUUCCUUCUCAUAUAUGUGAAUGACCAAUAUUCCUUCUCAGCAUUUUGAUUACUACAUGCAUUGGAAUUGAUGCACUGCUUUGCAAAUUCCUGUCUGCUAAUUCAUUUUUCCAUCCCACUAUCGUUAGUCUAUUCUUCAGUUCCCAUUCAUUUUAUUUUUGCCUCUUGUGUGAGAUGUGUUCUGCAAACUGAUGUCGUCUUUCAUAGGCAAGUUUAGUGUAUUCUUUAGAACUGGCAUAGAUCCUAGAUAUUUUUAAAUGUACGAUAUUACAACAAUUAUUUCAUUAUUUGACUUACAAUAAGCACUCAAUAUUACAACAUUGAAACGAUUUUGAUACUAUCUCUUUAUUUACUUGAGUCGCGCUACCAAUGAUACAUCCAUGAAAAUCACUAUGUGACUCACACAAUAACUGAUGUCAUUGUAUUUUAAUUCACAGAACUGAAGCACCUCAAUUAACAGACUAUAAACAAAUUUAGAUUUAGUUGCAUUCCUAAAUGUGAUUUUCUGUGUCAAAAUGUUUUGGCACCUUUUGGAUUUAUUCACAUACUUCGGUGCGUCACUUAGUUGCUUUAUCAUAAUUUGCAUAUCUGCUGCCCACUGCAGGUAGCUUAAAUACAACUUAUAUUUUAUAUUUUAAUUAAGCCAUAGCAGCUUCAGUCCUGACACCAUGUGAACGCAUGCAGCAGAUGCCUUGAUGCACGAGCAGGCCAUCUGAAUAGCAGGCCAUGAAAGAAGACAGGGACGUACAGAUUUCAUCAGGUUCGUGCGCAAGCAGGGAGCGAGCAGUUACG
Long non-coding RNA from Panicum virgatum (switchgrass), 2884 nucleotides. RefSeq lists it as uncharacterized. The transcript has 5 exons. Lineage: Eukaryota; Viridiplantae; Streptophyta; Magnoliopsida; Poales; Poaceae. The record is from RefSeq and is a predicted model, not a curated record.